Molecule: ribosomal RNA, 497 nt
Filed under: uncultured bacterium
Lineage: Bacteria
Description: partial 16S ribosomal RNA
Rfam family: Bacterial small subunit ribosomal RNA
Source: RNAcentral
GAUGAACGCUGGCGGCGUGCCUAAUACAUGCAAGUCGAGCGAACGGACGAGAAGCUUGCUUCUCUGAUGUUAGCGGCGGACGGGUGAGUAACACGUGGAUAACCUACCUAUAAGACUGGGAUAACUUCGGGAAACCGGAGCUAGUACCGGAUAAUAUUUUGAACCGCAUGGUUCAAAAGUGAAAGACGGUCUUGCUGUCACUUAUAGAUGGAUCCGCGCUGCAUUAGCUAGUUGGUAAGGUAACGGCUUACCAAGGCAACGAUGCAUAGCCGACCUGAGAGGGUGAUCGGCCACACUGGAACUGAGACACGGUCCAGACGACUACGGGAGGCAGCAGUAGGGAAUCUUCCGCAAUGGGCGAAAGCCUGACGGAGCAACGCCGCGUGAGUGAUGAAGAUCUUCGGAUCGUAAAAAUCUGUUAUGAGGGAAGAACAUAUGUGGAAGGAACUGUGCACAUCUUGACGGUACCUAAUCAGAAAGCCACGGCUAACUACGUG